This 469-nucleotide long non-coding RNA is filed under the name Nicotiana tabacum (common tobacco). RNAcentral's name for it is "long non-coding RNA (NTAB_LNC000843)". The record is from RNAcentral. Lineage: Eukaryota; Viridiplantae; Streptophyta; Magnoliopsida; Solanales; Solanaceae.
UCGUUGCACAUAUAGAACUAAUAGGAUGGAUAAACUCUGUGACACUGCUAAAGGAGAGUUACCGUUUCAGGUCUCUCCUCUUUAUUUGGUGGUUUUUCAGUUUUAUCUUCAACAACUAGUUCUUCAUCUGUCUGUUCAAUCGUUAGUUCUUCAGGUUUCUCUUCAAGCGCUAGUUCUUCAGCUGUUUCCUCCCCUACUAGCACUUGUUUUUCUUUAGUUGCUGGUUCUUCAGGUUUCUCUUCAGCUGUUGGUUCUUCAGGUUUCUCCUCAACUGGUUCUUCAGAUUUCUCUUCAACUGUUGGUUCUUCAGGUUUCUCUUCAAGAACUGGUUUUUCAGUUUUUUCUUUUACUGCAGGUUCUUCAGGGUUUUCCUCAACUUCUGAAAAGUGAGCAGCAUUAUUGUUUGUAAUGCUUGGAGUUUUACUUUCAGUUUUGUCGUUCGGGACUACAACUGGAAUACUCUGCAAGA